Molecule: ribosomal RNA, 253 nt
Filed under: uncultured bacterium
Lineage: Bacteria
Description: partial 16S ribosomal RNA
Rfam family: Bacterial small subunit ribosomal RNA
Source: RNAcentral
UACGAAGGGGGCUAGCGUUGUUCGGAUUUACUGGGCGUAAAGGGCGCGUAGGCGGAUACUUAAGUCGGGGGUGAAAGCCCGGGGCUCAACCCCGGAACUGCCUUCGAUACUGCGGGUCUCGAGUCCGGGAGAGGUGAGUGGAAUUCCUAGUGUAGAGGUGAAAUUCGUAGAUAUUAGGAAGAACACCAGUGGCGAAGGCGGCUCACUGGCCCGGUACUGACGCUGAGGCGCGAAAGCGUGGGGAGCAAACAGG